This 291-nucleotide unclassified non-coding RNA is filed under the name Herpotrichiellaceae sp. Its description in RNAcentral is "partial contains 5.8S ribosomal RNA, internal transcribed spacer 2, and large subunit ribosomal RNA". The stretch from base 1 to 71 matches the Rfam family "5.8S ribosomal RNA", at positions 84 to 154 of the family's 154-position model. Lineage: Eukaryota; Fungi; Ascomycota; Eurotiomycetes; Chaetothyriales; Herpotrichiellaceae. The record is from RNAcentral.
GUGAGUCAUCGAAUCUUUGAACGCACAUUGUGCCCUUUGGUAUUCCGAAGGGCAUGCCUGUUCGAGCGUCAUUAUCAAAUUAUCAAGCUUGGCUUGUUUGUUGGGCCCUUUUGUCACCUGGUGAUAGGUCCAAAAGAUAAUGACCGGUGUCGUAAAGACUAUAUGCAACGAGCUUAUAACAGCACGCAUCUAGUAGUUAUAUGACCCCGGUCUCACCCCUUCAUUUCUCAAGGUUGACCUCGGAUCAGGUAGGAAUACCCGCUGAACUUAAGCAUAUCAAUAAGCGGAGGA